UACAGAGACCUCAAGCGUUAUCCGGAAUCAUUGGGCGUAAAGCGUACCGAUAGGUGGUUUAGAAAGUUUUGGGUAAAAGCCAGAAGCUCAACUUCUGAGUUUGCUCAAAAUACUUCUCAACUAGAGGGGCAAAGAGGUCCUUGGAACGAACGGUGUAGUAGUGAAAUGCGUUGAUAUCGUUCGGAACACCGAAAGCGAAGGCAGAGGACUGGGUGCCACCUGACACUACUAGGACGAAAACGUGGGGAGCGAAUGGG
Molecule: ribosomal RNA, 257 nt
Filed under: uncultured bacterium
Lineage: Bacteria
Description: partial 16S ribosomal RNA
Rfam family: Bacterial small subunit ribosomal RNA
Source: RNAcentral